Molecule: ribosomal RNA, 543 nt
Filed under: uncultured bacterium
Lineage: Bacteria
Description: bacterial SSU rRNA
Rfam family: Bacterial small subunit ribosomal RNA
Source: RNAcentral
GAGGGGCCUGCGGUCCAUCAGCUAGUUGGUAGGGUAAUGGCCUACCAAGGCUACUACGGAUAGGGGACCUGAGAGGGUGGCCCCCCACACUGGCACUGACACACGGGCCAGACUCCUACGGGAGGCAGCCGUCGGGAAUAUUGCACAAUGAGCGAAAGCUUGAUGCAGCAACGCCGCGUGCGCGAUGAAGGUCUUCGGAUCGUAAAGCGCUUUUCGGGGGGAUGAGGAAGGACAGUACCCCCGGAAUAAGUCACGGCUAACUACGUGCCAGCAGCCGCGGUAAAACGUAGGUGGCGAGCGUUAUCCGGAUUUACUGGGCGUAAAGCGUGUUCAGGCGGUUUGGAAAGUCGGGCAUUAAAUCUCUUGGCUCAACCAGGAGGCGCUGUCCGGUACUCCCAGACUUGAGGGUAACAGAGGGCGGUGGAAUUCCGGGUGUAGUGGUAAAAUGCGUAGAUAUCCGGAGGAACACCAGUGGCGAAGGCGGCCGCCUGGGUUACCCCUGACGCUAAAACACGAAGGCUAGGGUAGAGAACGGGGUUAGAA